Molecule: ribosomal RNA, 468 nt
Filed under: uncultured bacterium
Lineage: Bacteria
Description: partial 16S ribosomal RNA
Rfam family: Bacterial small subunit ribosomal RNA
Source: RNAcentral
GACGAACGCUGGCGGCGUGCUUAACACAUGCAAGUCGAACGGAAAGGCCCUGCUUUUGUGGGGUGCUCGAGUGGCGAACGGGUGAGUAACAAGUGAGUAACCUGCCCUUGACUUUGGGAUAACUUCAGGAAACUGGGGCUAAUACCGGAUAGGAGCUCCUGCUGCAUGGUGGGGGUUGGAAAGUUUCGGCGGUUGGGGAUGGACUCGCGGCUUAUCAGCUUGUUGGUGGGGUAGUGGCUUACCAAGGCUUUGACGGGUAGCCGGCCUGAGAGGGUGACCGGCCACAUUGGGACUGAGAUGCGGCCCAGACUCCUACGGGAGGCAGCAGUGGGGAAUAUUGCACAAUGGGCGGAAGCCUGAUGCAGCAACGCCGCGUGCGGGAUGACGGCCUUCGGGUUGUAAACCGCUUUCGCCUGUGACGAAGCGUGAGUGACGGUAAUGGGUAAAGAAGCACCGGCUAACUACGUG